RNAcentral lists this non-coding RNA (31 nucleotides) under Sus scrofa (pig). Lineage: Eukaryota; Metazoa; Chordata; Mammalia; Artiodactyla; Suidae. The record is from RNAcentral. RNAcentral also lists the same sequence under 1 other name.
CUAGGAAUAAUGGAAUAGGACCGCGGUUCUA